RNAcentral lists this ribosomal RNA (497 nucleotides) under uncultured bacterium. RNAcentral describes it as "partial 16S ribosomal RNA". It matches the Rfam family "Bacterial small subunit ribosomal RNA", at positions 28 to 507 of the family's 1533-position model. The record is from RNAcentral.
GACGAACGCUGGCGGCGUGCCUAAUACAUGCAGGUUGAGCGCUGAAGGUUGGUACUUGUACCAACUGGAUGAGCAGCGAACGGGUGAGUAACGCGUGGGGAAUCUGCCUUUGAGCGGGGGACAACAUUUGGAAACGAAUGCUAAUACCGCAUAAAAACUUUAAACACAAGUUUUAAGUUUGAAAGAUGCAAUUGCAUCACUCAAAGAUGAUCCCGCGUUGUAUUAGCUAGUUGGUGAGGUAAAGGCUCACCAAGGCGAUGAUACAUAGCCGACCUGAGAGGGUGGUCGGCCACAUUGGGACUGAGACACGGCCCAAACUCCUACGGGAGGCAGCAGUAGGGAAUCUUCGGCAAUGGGCGAAAGUCUGACCGAGCAACGCCGCGUGAGGGAAGAAGGUUUUCGGAUCGUAAAACUCUGUUGGUAGAGAAGAACGUUGGUGAGAGUGGAAAGCUCAUCAAGUGACGGUAACUACCCAGAAAGGGACGGCUAACUACGUG